Molecule: transfer RNA, 65 nt
Filed under: Diodora graeca
Lineage: Eukaryota; Metazoa; Mollusca; Gastropoda; Lepetellida; Fissurellidae
Description: tRNA-Thr
Rfam family: tRNA
About the family: Transfer RNA (tRNA) molecules are approximately 80 nucleotides in length. Their secondary structure includes four short double-helical elements and three loops (D, anti-codon, and T loops).
Source: RNAcentral
GCAGUAAAAGCCGAGGGAAGGGCGUCGGUCUUGUAAGCCGAAGGGCGGAGAUAAUCCUUACUGCA